GAUGAAGAACGUAGCGAAAUGCGAUAAGUAGUGUGAAUUGCAGAAUUCAGCGAAUCAUCGAAUCUUUGAACGCACAUUGCGCCCUUUGGUUAUUCCUUAGGGCAUGCCUGUUCGAGCGUCAUUUCAACCUUCAAGCCUAGCUUGGUGUUGGGUGAUUGUCCCGCCCCUGCGCGUGGACUCGCCCCAAAUGCAUUGGCAGCCGCAUCCCUCACAGCCGCGAGCGCAGCACAUUUGCGCGGACGGCCCGGGGGUGGGCGCUCCACGAAGAUCAACCACGUCUUGACCUCGGAUCAGGUAGGGAUACCCGCUGAACUUAAGCAUAUCAAAUAAGCGGAGGA
This 338-nucleotide unclassified non-coding RNA is filed under the name soil metagenome. RNAcentral's name for it is "partial contains 5.8S ribosomal RNA, internal transcribed spacer 2, and large subunit ribosomal RNA". The stretch from base 1 to 121 matches the Rfam family "5.8S ribosomal RNA", at positions 35 to 154 of the family's 154-position model. The record is from RNAcentral.